ACAUUGGGAAACCAGUGCUAAUACCAAAUAAUGCAGCGGGCUCUUCGGAGCACAGUUGUUAAAGUAGGCUUCGGCUUACACUUUGAGAUAGGUUUGCGUCCGAUUAGUUAGUUGGUAGGGUAAUUGCCUACCAAGACCAAGAUCGGUAGCUGGUCUGAGAGGAUGAUCAGCCACACUGGAAUUGAGAUACGGUCCAGACUCCUACGGGAGGCAGCAGUAAGGAAUUUUGCACAAUGGGCGAAAGCCUGAUGCAGCAACGCCGCGUGAACGAUGAAGUUUUUAGGAAUGUAAAGUUCUGUCGUAUGGGAAGAGAUCUUUCGAAUGUUAAUACCAUUCGUUAAUGACGGUACCACACAAGAAAGCACCGGCUAACUUCGUGCCAGCAGCCGCGGUAAUACGAGGGGUGCUAGCGUUGUCCGGAUUUACUGGGCGUAAAGGGUACGUAGGCGUUUUAAUAAGUUGUAUGUUAAAUAUCUUAGCUUAACUAAGAAAGUGCAUCCAAAACUGUUAAAAUAGAGUUUGAGAGAGGAACGCAGAAUUCAUGGUGGAGCGGUGACAUGCGUAGAUAUCAUGAGGAAAGUCAAAUGCGAAGGCAGCCUUCUGGCUCAAAACUGACGCUGAGGUACGAAAGCGUGGGGAGCGAACAGGAUUAGAUACCCUGGUAGUCCACGCCGUAAACGAUGAGUAUUUGGUGCUGGGGGAUUCGACCCUUUCAGUGCCGUAGCUAACGCGAUAAAUACUCCGCCUGGGGACUACGACCGCAAGGUUGAAACUCAAAGGAAUUGACGGGGACCCGCACAAGCGGUGGAACAUGUGGUUUAAUUCGAUGAUACGCGAAGAACCUUACCUGGGUUUGACAUGUUAGUGAAAGUUUUCUGAAAAGAAAUCCCUUUAGAAGCUUGCUUCUAAACACUAUCACAGGUGAUGCAUGGCUGUCGUCAGCUCGUGUCGUG
This 953-nucleotide ribosomal RNA is filed under the name marine metagenome. RNAcentral describes it as "bacterial SSU rRNA". It matches the Rfam family "Bacterial small subunit ribosomal RNA", at positions 146 to 1069 of the family's 1533-position model. The record is from RNAcentral.